UGAUGAGACGUCCUCCGCAUAGAACGCUUUGGCGAGGGCAUCCUGCUACGUCUGCUGUAUGCCCGAAGGUGCUGUAGGCCGCCCUAGAAGGCAGCAUCGAUUUUGCGGGUUCUUUUAACUCAACAACGAAAACUGGCAAUCUUCACAGCAUCUUCACCAGGAGUAGAUUCCACCUCAAGAAAUCACUCAUCCCUGAUCAUGAUAACAGAUAUAAUAAUAUUGAAAAGUUUGACAUAUGGCAAACAUUACCAAAAUGUGACAGAGAUACAAAGUGAGCAAAUCCUGUUAGAAAAAUGGUGCCAAUGUACUUGUUUGUUGCAGAGUUGCCACAAGACUUCAAUUUGUAAAAAAUGCAGUAUCUGCCAAGCAAAUACACAAUAAAGCAAAGUGUGAUAC
Molecule: long non-coding RNA, 396 nt
Organism: Manis javanica (Malayan pangolin)
Lineage: Eukaryota; Metazoa; Chordata; Mammalia; Pholidota; Manidae
Source: RefSeq, a predicted model, not a curated record